CCAGCGCCGACUGAAUGAGCUGCUAUCAAAUAUCCUUCGACAGCCAUGCAUGCUUGCUCUCAGCGCGUGCGUCACAGCUGCAUUAGACACGCCCCUUCCAAACGCUUGUUGAAUAGGCAUGACAAGGAAACAUGACAAGCGCUAAAGAUGAAUCUCAUAUACUGUUAUAACCGCACGCAUCCCUUCGCCAUUUGAAUGCCGCUGUACACCUGACCGGAGCCACGGGGAAAGCCGCUUGGGACCCAGCCAAAAAUUACAACUGAAAGCAGAAACCCAGCCCUGCUGCGAUUACGCACCGAGAGAGGGAGCACGCUGAUAGUGACAGCGGCACUUCAACAACUAAACUCCUCUGUGAUCAACCGUGCGAUACUUGAUCCGUUUUCUGCCGUGCACCCUCAGAGGAUGUAGACCCCGGCCUGCCGUCUCUGACAUGUCGCCAGUGGCUCGUUUGAACAGGCAAUGCCUUCCUCGCGCGUUUUGUGGCGCAAACUACAGCAAGCGCACGCGCGCGCCAGCGAUUCGUUGCUUUACUUGUCUAUACGUGUGUUGGUAGUUUAAAAUGCCUAGGUUUUUGUUUUAAAUACUUUUGUACGGACGGAAAAGAGCGUGUUCGGCUGGGAGGCGCAAUAAGGAGCUCUAGCUACUCUUCGGCUUCCACGGCAAUACGACGGAGGGGUUUUUUGAUGGAGCUGGAGAAUAUUGUUGCAAACACGGUUCUCCUGAAGGCAAGAGAGGGCGAUGUGGAGUGCACGUCGUAACCCAUGACGACGGCGGAUGAGGGGCUCUCCUUCCCAUUCAAGAAGUCUGGAGCUGGCAGACCACUCCGCUUCGCUGGAAACUGUGCCAUGUGAAAUCCUGAAGAAUAAACGUCGUUUAGACCCAUCUAAAUGAAGACAGAUGCAAAGGAGGAGGCUAAAGUACAGAGAGCAAAAAAAGACUGAUAGUGAAUGCAAGCCAGUGAAAGCAGAAAGAAAGAAUUGAGAGAAAAAGAAAUACUGCGUCAUAUAUAAAACAAGGAACAUUUGAGCUGCUGCUUCAGCCAGAUGCUAAAAAGUUACGUCAAGUUAAGUUGUUCUAAUGUUAAAACAGAUAAUAUAAUAGUAUUUAUAAUAG
This 1113-nucleotide long non-coding RNA is filed under the name Sinocyclocheilus grahami. RNAcentral's name for it is "lncRNA (ENSSGRG00000025324.1)". Lineage: Eukaryota; Metazoa; Chordata; Actinopteri; Cypriniformes; Cyprinidae. The record is from RNAcentral.